GCAGGUAAUCGUUAGAAUCGAGUCAUUGCAGAUGGUUAUUGGCUACGUUUUUUCCCCACGCUCCCCUAUCAACUGCUUCCUUGCCAGAUGAAAACGCGAAGUCUGAUGAGAUUUUAUUAGUACAAAAACAAGCAUCCUUCCCUCCCCAGUAGCCCCUCUGCUUCUGUGCUGGCGAUGACAUGGUCACCUCAUUGCUGGGGCAUGCAGGUCUUUGGGUGCAGAUGGAGAGGGAGAGGGGGUGUCUUUGCUUCAAUCUGCCAGACAUUGCAGCGGUGUGAGAAGGAGAUGAGGUCCUGGUCCACACCUGCGGAUUACCUGGUUUGGGGGGACCGUUGCUGUUCCUGUCCUUGUCCACCUGGUCAUACUUCUGACCUAGUCUAAAAUCAAAUAUACUCUGGAUUUAGCCAAGAGAAAUGUAUUUAUUAUUCCAAUUGGACUCUUAAUAUCUCACCCGGCACAGCCAGAAGAGGAC
Molecule: long non-coding RNA, 472 nt
Organism: Esox lucius (northern pike)
Lineage: Eukaryota; Metazoa; Chordata; Actinopteri; Esociformes; Esocidae
Source: Ensembl